GAUCAUUUACUUGUGUGUUUUCUUGUUUUCAUUUACUUACUUGUUUUUUUUUUAAUUGCAUGAUUUUUCAUUGGUUUUUUGGGUUGCAAGUGUUGUGUGAGUAAUUUCUCUCUUUUAUUGAUUAAAGACUUAUGGUGUUAUGUGAUUGAUUUGCUUGCAUUCUUAGUAUGUUAAGUGGGACUAAAUUUUGAAUUGUGUGUCAUUUGUAGUUGAUCAAUACCCUUUUGUGAGAUUUUGAGCCGAAUAAUGGAUAAUAUUAAAAAAUC
Molecule: long non-coding RNA, 266 nt
Filed under: Lathyrus oleraceus (garden pea)
Lineage: Eukaryota; Viridiplantae; Streptophyta; Magnoliopsida; Fabales; Fabaceae
Description: Pisum sativum (pea) long non-coding RNA (PSAT_LNC001116)
Source: RNAcentral